CCCCUCUCAGGAUCACACCUGGAGAGGUCUCAGUACUCUACCAGUCUCAACUAUGGAAAGAAGAGUCAAGCAGAGGCCUACCCAUUCCAAUCCUAGCUUGACCAGUGGCUAGUGAGUGGAAGACAAUCUGCUACAAGU
Molecule: small nucleolar RNA, 138 nt
Organism: Tachyglossus aculeatus (Australian echidna)
Lineage: Eukaryota; Metazoa; Chordata; Mammalia; Monotremata; Tachyglossidae
Source: RefSeq, a predicted model, not a curated record